GUCUUGGGAUUUAUCUUGGCCCCUUGCGUUCUGUUUUACGAAGAAGCUUACGCGAAUCCUAAUACGGAUCAAAAAAAAAAAAAACUAUUCUUCCUCUUCGAUGCGGCGGUGAUGAGGGACUUUCGCGUUUCUUCGUUCGAUCUGAAACGGUUCUAUUAAUGGCUGCGUGGUAAAUCAAAUUGAUUGUCCCCUUCACGAUCCAUCUUCAAUGGUUUGCGAAAGGCGGUCUCUAAACAGUAUAAAUAGAUGCUUGCCGCUGUUCUUCAACCGUCAAGGUCUCUGAUUUUGGGAAGCGAGCGCGGGUGGAGAGCUGACGGUGUGGACAUGCUCCUGCUAAGGUGACUCUGUUCUUAAACUUCAUGAUCAUCUUAGUUUAAAACUAACGCAGACGUUUAUACUCAUAACAGACAGACUUUUGUUUCCAAAUCUUUAACGAGCCUAUUACAGAUAUAAUUAUGAAUCCGUUUGUCGAUUAAGUUUCUUUUCUUAUAUGUGUUUGAUCAUCUUAGUUUAAAACUAAAGCUGUCGUCUAGGAGGAGCAUGAUCUUCGUGGUUUGAAAACAGCGUUCAAUCUCAGAGUUUUCAGAAUUUUAUAUUGAAAUUUUAUUUUUACUCUUUGGGAGACAAUUUAGUCUCAUAUAUAUUCAGACUUCUCUCUCAAAUUGCUUGAACUUAUGAUCAUGAGAGCUUACGUUUGUUGUUUGCUGCCAUUCAUGUGGUACAGUUGGUUCUUCAGUCAUGGAGAGUUAAUAGCAACUGUUUAUGAAAUUAAAAUGCCAAAAAAAUGUAAGAAAUUAAAGGUGCCAAUCCUCCACUCCAAUGUUUUAGUGAUUAUCUUCAGGCCAGGUUCUGUUUUCUUAAAUGAUUGUCUUUAAAGUGUUUUACUUUCGUUAUGCAGGAUGAAAAAAAAUGUAGAACCGGCAGUAUGUGAGUCAUUCUGUUCAUAGCAACGUCGCAGUCUUGCCAAAGUCAUCUUCUCUCUUGACAAGCAUUGUUGGCAAUUGAGUGGCUAGGAGAUAGAGGAAGUGAUGGUAUGAAGGGCUACUUGAGUCCGUGUCCAGGGGAAACUCACCCGCUUAUAUUCAGGUCUCCAGCGAAGGGUAUGGAGGGCAUCUUGACCAACCAACUCAUGUGAGAACACGGACCUAGAUCAGAGGGUUCUUCUAACUCUUAACGCCUCAGCUUCCAAAUCUUUUUCGGUCUCACUCGCUCUUCUUCUUCUCCUACGAUUAGCUGUGCUUCCGUUUCAACUUCCCUCUUGAGAUCCUCUCCAUAUGUAUGCUGAUUGAGUUUUCCAAUCUUCACAGCAUUUGUUUUAACUGCGUAUGUGAAAUUCUUGCGGUUUUUAAGUCAAUGAAAAGAUCAUCCUGAUGCUCUGUUAUACUUUAAUGUUUAUAUUUAAUUUUUGCUGCAUUA
Molecule: long non-coding RNA, 1416 nt
Organism: Brassica oleracea var. oleracea
Lineage: Eukaryota; Viridiplantae; Streptophyta; Magnoliopsida; Brassicales; Brassicaceae
Exons: 3
Source: RefSeq, a predicted model, not a curated record